This 492-nucleotide ribosomal RNA is filed under the name uncultured bacterium. Its description in RNAcentral is "partial 16S ribosomal RNA". It matches the Rfam family "Bacterial small subunit ribosomal RNA", at positions 29 to 507 of the family's 1533-position model. The record is from RNAcentral.
AGUGAACGCUGGCGGUAGGCCUAACACAUACAAGUCGAACGGCAGCACAGUAAGAGCUUGCUCUUACGGGUGGCGAGUGGCGGACGGGUGAGGAAUACAUCGGAAUCUACUUUUUCGUGGGGGAUAACGUAGGGAAACUUACGCUAAUACCGCAUACGACCUACGGGUGAAAGCAGGGGAUCUUCGGACCUUGCGCGAUUGAAUGAGCCGAUGUCGGAUUAGCUAGUUGGCGGGGUAAAGGCCCACCAAGGCGACGAUCCGUAGCUGGUCUGAGAGGAUGAUCAGCCACACUGGAACUGAGACACGGUCCAGACUCCUACGGGAGGCAGCAGUGGGGAAUAUUGGACAAUGGGCGCAAGCCUGAUCCAGCCAUACCGCGUGGGUGAAGAAGGCCUUCGGGUUGUAAAGCCCUUUUGUUGGGAAAGAAAAGCAGCAGGUUAAUACCCCGCUGCUCUGACGGUACCCAAAGAAUAAGCACCGGCUAACUUCGUG